AAUUGUAGGCAGUUCGUGUGUGGAUCUCGUCAGCAUAUCGUCGCAAACAGGAAAUCCCCAACCAUAGUGGGCUUGGAGCUGUGAGGGAAUUCGGAGUGGCCACCCGUUCUGAAAGUUUGAUUUUUCUUCUAGUGAACUGGACAUCCUUUUAUUUACGUUUGAAGUUUUGGGUUUUUAAAUGUAAUAAGGCCGCUUAAUUAUUUUUGAUGGUUUUAAUAUGUAUUACUAAGAUAGGUAAUACUUAUUUUAACUAUUGAAAUUGGAUAGCUUUAGGGCGCGUUUUCAAAAACAACAGUUGAUUUCAAAAUAA
This is a long non-coding RNA of Gossypium arboreum, 310 nucleotides long. RefSeq lists it as uncharacterized. The transcript has 2 exons. Lineage: Eukaryota; Viridiplantae; Streptophyta; Magnoliopsida; Malvales; Malvaceae. The record is from RefSeq and is a predicted model, not a curated record.